This 453-nucleotide long non-coding RNA is filed under the name Crocodylus porosus (Australian saltwater crocodile). Its description in RNAcentral is "lncRNA (ENSCPRG00005008798.1)". The record is from RNAcentral. Lineage: Eukaryota; Metazoa; Chordata; Crocodylia; Crocodylidae.
AAAUUGCAUAUGUGGGCUAUAAAUUCUGUAUUUGUUACAUUUUGUCACAUCUAAUUAGUAUUUGUUACUUUUUUCUCAGACUUUGGGAGUGAGUGCAAGCCUUGUGAAUUGAACAUCUCUGAACUCUGACUCUUUUGAAAUUGCCUUCCUGUCAAGCAGCCUUUCACACAGUCACAGAAAAGUUCCCUGAUCAACCUACUGGUCCCACUAAAAGAAACAGGUGUCUCGGUCUGCUGUUCCGGGAGUACUAUGAGUGAGAUACAUAACCUCUUUGCCUUUAAAAGCUCUCUGUACAUGCUUGCCUGAGAUGCACUAAAACUUUGAAAGGAAAUUUGGGCUGUGGGUAUGUACAACCAAUGUGAUAUCCCUAGGGGAGGAGUGCAAAACUGUCUCAUGCAACUGGGGAUGUGACGAGGAGAACUUGGUCUGACCUCCCCACUCACAGCUGUUCCU